Molecule: ribosomal RNA, 448 nt
Filed under: uncultured bacterium
Lineage: Bacteria
Description: bacterial SSU rRNA
Rfam family: Bacterial small subunit ribosomal RNA
Source: RNAcentral
GCCAGACUCCUACGGGAGGCAGCAGUGGGGAAUAUUGCACAAUGGGGGAAACCCUGAUGCAGCGACGCCGCGUGAGUGAAGAAGUAUUUCGGUAUGUAAAGCUCUCUCAGCAGGGAAGAAAAAAGACGGUACCUGACUAAGAAGCCCCGGCUAACUACGUGCCAGCAGCCGCGGUAAUACGUAGGGGGCAAGCGUUAUCCGGAUUUACUGGGUGUAAAGGGAGCGUAGACGGCAAUACAAGUCGGAAGUGAAAUACCCGGGCUCAACCUGGGAACUGCUUUGGAAACUGUAUGGCUAGAGUGCUGGAGAGGUAAGCGGAAUUCCUAGUGUAGCGGUGAAAUGCGUAGAUAUUAGGAAGAACACCAGUGGCGAAGGCGGCUUUCUGGACUGAAACUGACGCUGAGGCACGAAAGCGUGGGGAGCGAACAGGAUUAGAUACCCGGGUAAC